UGGCCGGCUGCUGGGGAUCGGGUUCGGACUCCUGCUCUCGCCUGUGACUCCCUAAAACACAACCAGUUAGUCUACCAAAGAGUAUAUAAAAUGUGUAUAAAUUAAGCUACAAACUGAAGUAACGAAAGAGUUCCGUGAACUCAAGAUAUACUAUUGGUGAGAUGACCUGUUCUCUGGAAAAGUCACUCCAGGACUGACAGAGGGCUCCAGAUUGACAGAGGGCUCACCAUCUUGUAGCUGUAUCACCCAGAACACAGCAACUGACUCUCUGUGGCAGAGGAAGAAAGGGCUCACAGAAGAUGAUGGGGUGACCAGGAUUGCUGACACAAAAAAACAGAGAGGACAGAAAGAGGU
This is a long non-coding RNA of Lagenorhynchus albirostris (white-beaked dolphin), 354 nucleotides long. RefSeq lists it as uncharacterized. The transcript has 3 exons. NCBI's taxonomy places the organism in Eukaryota, Metazoa, Chordata, Mammalia, Artiodactyla, Delphinidae. The record is from RefSeq and is a predicted model, not a curated record.